CAUGCAAGUCGAACGAGAAAUCCUGGGCAACCGGGAGAGUAAAGUGGCGCACGGGUGAGUAACGCGUGGGUAAUCUGCCCUGGAGUUAGGAAUAACACCUCGAAAGGGGUGCUAAUACCCAAUAAUAUCUUCAGGACUUUGGUCCGGUGGAUUAAAGAAGGCUGAGGCUUGCAAGCUAUCGCUCCAGGAUGAGCCCGCGUACCAUUAGCUAGUUGGUAGGGUAAUGGCUUACCAAGGCAACGAUGGUUAGGUGGUCUGAGAGGACGGCCAGCCACACUGGAACUGAGACACGGUCCAGACUCCUACGGGAGGCAGCAGUGAGGAAUUUUGCGCAAUGGGCGAAAGCCUGACGCAGCGACGCCGCGUGGAGGAUGAAGGCCUUCGGGUUGUAAACUCCUGUCAGAGGAGAAGAAAUCCCGAGUAAUCGGGUUAGACGG
This 437-nucleotide ribosomal RNA is filed under the name uncultured bacterium. Its description in RNAcentral is "bacterial SSU rRNA". It matches the Rfam family "Bacterial small subunit ribosomal RNA", at positions 54 to 475 of the family's 1533-position model. The record is from RNAcentral.